UCGAGAUGGACCUCCCCUGCUCGACUUUCUUUGUUGUUCACGUGUUCUCCAGUGUGCGACUGACUAUGACGAUGGUGGAUCAAGAACAGAGGUGGCGACAGUGAUCACGCGGUGACAUUUCGGUGGGGGCAAGUCAUGGCUGUGACGUUUGGCUUCUGCGACGAAGCCAACAGUGACGACGGCGGCGUUGUUACUAGGCCACGUUCUUUUACUGCGACGAGCCAACGGUGAUGACAGCAGUGAUAUUUCGAUGGGAAAAGUGAUGGCUGUGACGAUGGAUUGGCUAAAAACCACUCUUUACCGUAGCCGUCGGUUUACAACCAGAGCAUCGGUUUUUGCAGGUUUACGAUCCCCGUAUCUGGACGUCGUUUAUCAGUGAUAUCACAGGUCAAGAUUCAAGAACAAAGGGUGAAGGAGGGAGGUGCUUCGUGAAGGUGAUGCUCAGCCGCUGACCGCCGUUGUGAGGUGGCCGCACCCCUCCAAUGGUCUACAAUAGCUGACAAGGGAUUUUGAAAAAUGAAGAGAAGUAUGGUUGUUUUGAUAUUGGGUUUGGGUAAAUGGUUUUGGGAAGGUAAUGGUUUUUGCACGUAUGUGAAAUAA
This 600-nucleotide long non-coding RNA is filed under the name Helianthus annuus (common sunflower). RNAcentral describes it as "hypothetical non coding rna". The record is from RNAcentral. Lineage: Eukaryota; Viridiplantae; Streptophyta; Magnoliopsida; Asterales; Asteraceae.